RNAcentral lists this non-coding RNA (165 nucleotides) under uncultured Flavonifractor sp. RNAcentral's name for it is "Lysine riboswitch". It matches the Rfam family "Lysine riboswitch aptamer". From Rfam's summary of the family: Riboswitches are metabolite binding domains within certain messenger RNAs that serve as precision sensors for their corresponding targets. Allosteric rearrangement of mRNA structure is mediated by ligand binding, and this results in modulation of gene expression. This family includes riboswitches that sense lysine in a number of genes involved in lysine metabolism, including lysC. Lineage: Bacteria; Bacillati; Bacillota; Clostridia; Eubacteriales; Oscillospiraceae. The record is from RNAcentral.
AAUAGAGGCGCGGCUGUUCAAGAGUACCGCGGGGAGGGCGACCGGGCCCGGAGAACCGUGAGAAAGGGGAGGCCGCCGAAGGGACGUUCCCCGGCGGGGCGUUUACCUGGUUGCCCGGUGAAGAUCCGUGCGACUGUCGCCGCAAACGCGGCGGAGUGCUGUCUG